Molecule: non-coding RNA, 20 nt
Filed under: Arabidopsis thaliana (thale cress)
Lineage: Eukaryota; Viridiplantae; Streptophyta; Magnoliopsida; Brassicales; Brassicaceae
Source: RNAcentral
UGCUCAUCAUUGGUGCUUCA